RNAcentral lists this ribosomal RNA (497 nucleotides) under uncultured bacterium. RNAcentral describes it as "partial 16S ribosomal RNA". It matches the Rfam family "Bacterial small subunit ribosomal RNA", at positions 28 to 507 of the family's 1533-position model. The record is from RNAcentral.
GACGAACGCUGGCGGCGUGCCUAAUACAUGCAAGUUGAGCGCUGAAGGCUGGUACUUGUACCAACUGGAUGAGCAGCGAACGGGUGAGUAACGCGUGGGGAAUCUGCCUUUGAGCGGGGGACAACCUUUGGAAACGAAUGCUAAUACCGCAUAAAAUCUUGAAACACAAGUUUUAAGUUUGAAAGAUGCAAUUGCAUCACUCAAAGAUGAUCCCUCGUUGUAUUAGCUAGUUGGUGAGGUAAAGGCUCACCAAGGCGAUGAUACAUAGCCGACCUGAGAGGGUGGUCGGCCACAUUGGGACGGUGACACGGCCCAAACUCCCACAGGAAGCAGCAGUAGGGCAUCGUCGGGCAUGGGCGAAAGUCUGACCGAGCAACGCCGCGGGAGUGAAGAAGGUUUUCGGGUCGUAAAACUCUGUUGGUAGAGAAGAACCUGCGUUAGAGUGGAAAGCACAGCAAGUGACGGUAACUACUCAGAAAGGGACGGCUAACUACGUG